GACUACCUCAAGCAGGUACUUAAAGGUUUGGAGCCAGUCUCUGAAAACUCACUCAUGGGCAACCACCAUUCUCCUCUUUAUGCUGGCUAAGAAUUCCAAGUGUUAUCCAGUCAUGGGAGCCUGGCCUGCCUGUACCCAUCCCGAGAGACUGAAUAUUAAUUACUCAAGAUAAUCAGGGAGAACUCCAAUUUGAGUGGGUGGAGAUGUGUCCAGAGCAACUAAAUCAUGACUAAGUCAGUCACAAAAGUUCCUUUUCUCUUUCAGGUAACUGGUAUACUUGUGGCCAUUUAUCUCAAUUAUUGGGGAUCUUCCCAACCCAGGGAUCGAACCCAGGUCUCCCACAUUGCGAGCAGAUGCUUUACCCUCUGAGUCACCAGGGAAUCCCUGCCUAGAAGAGAUUUGCAUUUAAAUCAGUGGACUGACUAAAGAAGACUGCAAUCAACAAAGUGGGUGGGCAUCACCCAAUCCAUUGAGGGCCUGAAUAGAACAAAAACAUUCAUUCUGCAUGAGCUGAAACAUUCAUGUUCUCUGUCUUUGGACACCAGCAGUACUCAGACAGGGAUUUAUACUAUUGGCCACCCCCGCUCUCCACCAAUUCUCUCUCAGGCCUCUGGACUCAGACUGAAUUACAUCACUGGCUUUCCUUAUUCAUUUGCUUGACCAUGGAACUUUUCGGCCUCUAAC
Bos taurus (domestic cattle) is the source of this 684-nucleotide long non-coding RNA. Lineage: Eukaryota; Metazoa; Chordata; Mammalia; Artiodactyla; Bovidae. The record is from Ensembl.